GGUGGUGCAUGGCCGUUCUUAGUUGGUGGAGUGAUUUGUCUGGUUAAUUCCGUUAACGAACGAGACCCCUGCCUGCUAAAUAGCCUGGUGAGUGAUUUUUCACUGAUUCAUGGCUUCUUAGAGGGACGUGCAUUCUAUUAGAUGCAGGAAGAUAGGGGCAAUAACAGGUCUGUGAUGCCCUUAGAUGUCCUGGGCCGCACGCGCGCUACAAUGAUGCAUUCAGAGAGCUUUUUUCCUGUGCCGAGAGGCCUGGGCAAUCUCUGAACGUGCAUCGUGAUAGGGAUAGAUUAUUGCAAUUAUUAAUCUUGAACGAGGAAUUCCUAGUAAACGCAGAUCAUCAAUCUGCAUUGAUUACGUCCCUGCCCUUUGUACACACCGCCCGUCGCACCUACCGAUUGAAUGGUCCGGUGAAGCCUCGGGAUUGUGGUCAGUUUGCUUCAUUGCAAAUUGAUUGCGAGAACUUGUCUAAACCUUAUGAUUAGAGAAGUAAGUCGAGCAUC
This 500-nucleotide ribosomal RNA is filed under the name uncultured diatom. RNAcentral's name for it is "SSU rRNA". It matches the Rfam family "Eukaryotic small subunit ribosomal RNA", at positions 1276 to 1790 of the family's 1831-position model. Lineage: Eukaryota; Bacillariophyta. The record is from RNAcentral.